This 497-nucleotide ribosomal RNA is filed under the name uncultured bacterium. RNAcentral describes it as "partial 16S ribosomal RNA". It matches the Rfam family "Bacterial small subunit ribosomal RNA", at positions 28 to 507 of the family's 1533-position model. The record is from RNAcentral.
GAUGAACGCUGGCGGCGUGCCUAAUACAUGCAAGUCGAGCGAACGGACGAGAAGCUUGCUUCUCUGAUGCUAGCGGCGGACGGGUGAGUAACACGUGGAUAACCUACCUAUAAGACUGGGAUAACUUCGGGAAACCGGAGCUAAUACCGGAUAAUAUUUUGAACCGCAUGGUUCAAAAGUGAAAGACGGUCUUGCUGUCACUUAUAGAUGGAUCCGCGCUGCAUUAGCUAGUUGGUAAGGUAACGGCUUACCAAGGCAACGAUGCAUAGCCGACCUGAGAGGGUGAUCGGCCACACUGGAACUGAGACACGGUCCAGACUCCUACGGGAGGCAGCAGUAGGGAAUCUUCCGCAAUGGGCGAAAGCCUGACGGAGCAACGCCGCGUGAGUGAUGAAGGUCUUCGGAUCGUAAAACUCUGUUAUUAGGGAAGAACAUAUGUGUAAGUAACUGUGCACAUCUUGGCGGUACCUAAUCAGAAAGCCACGGCUAACUACGUG